This 468-nucleotide ribosomal RNA is filed under the name uncultured bacterium. Its description in RNAcentral is "partial 16S ribosomal RNA". It matches the Rfam family "Bacterial small subunit ribosomal RNA", at positions 28 to 507 of the family's 1533-position model. The record is from RNAcentral.
GACGAACGCUGGCGGCGUGCUUAACACAUGCAAGUCGAACGGAAACGCCCUGCGUUUGUGGGGUUCUCGAGUGGCGAACGGGUGAGUAACACGUGAGUAACCUGCCCUUGUCUUUCGUAUAACUUCAGGAAACUGGGGUUAAUACCAGAUAGGAGCUCCCGUUCCGUUGUGGGGGUUGGAUCGUUUCGGCGGUUGCGGAUGGACUCGCGGCUUAUCAGCUUGUUGGUGGGGUAGUGGCUUACCAAGGCUUUGACGGGUACCCGGCAUGAGAGGGUGACCGGCCACCUUGGGACUGAGAGACGGCCCAGAGUCGUACGGGAGGCAGCAGUGGGAAAUAUGGCACAAUGGGCGGAAGCCUGAUGCAGCAACGCCGCGGUCGGGAUGACGGCCUUCGGGUUGUAAACCGCUUUCGCCUGUGACGAAGCUUGAGUGACGGUAAUGAGUAAAGAAGCACCGGCUAACUACGUG